Molecule: ribosomal RNA, 588 nt
Filed under: Gordonia sp. (in: high G+C Gram-positive bacteria)
Lineage: Bacteria; Bacillati; Actinomycetota; Actinomycetes; Mycobacteriales; Gordoniaceae
Description: bacterial SSU rRNA
Rfam family: Bacterial small subunit ribosomal RNA
Source: RNAcentral
UGGGUGAUCUGCCCCUGACUUUGGGAUAAGCCUGGGAAACUGGGUCUAAUACCGAAUAUUCAUUUUUCCUCGCAUGGGGAUUGGUGGAAAGCUUUUGCGGUUGGGGAUGGGCCCGCGGCCUAUCAGCUUGUUGGUGGGGUAAUGGCCUACCAAGGCGACGACGGGUAGCCGACCUGAGAGGGUGAUCGGCCACACUGGGACUGAGACACGGCCCAGACUCCUACGGGAGGCAGCAGUGGGGAAUAUUGCACAAUGGGCGCAAGCCUGAUGCAGCGACGCCGCGUGAGGGAUGACGGCCUUCGGGUUGUAAACCUCUUUCAGCUCCGACGAAGCGCAAGUGACGGUAGGAGCAGAAGAAGCACCGGCCAACUACGUGCCAGCAGCCGCGGUAAUACGUAGGGUGCAAGCGUUGUCCGGAAUUACUGGGCGUAAAGAGCUCGUAGGCGGUUUGUCGCGUCGUCUGUGAAAUUCUGCAGCUUAACUGCAGGCGUGCAGGCGAUACGGGCAGACUUGAGUACUACAGGGGAGACUGGAAUUCCUGGUGUAGCGGUGAAAUGCGCAGAUAUCAGGAGGAACACCGGUGGCGAA